RNAcentral lists this long non-coding RNA (255 nucleotides) under Pelobates cultripes (western spadefoot toad). The record is from RNAcentral. Lineage: Eukaryota; Metazoa; Chordata; Amphibia; Anura; Pelobatidae.
GGUUUAUCAAGUCUUGCCCAGGGGUGGAGUUAAGGCGUACCUACAGAAAUAAUAACUGACCACCUCCUUUGUUCCAGACCACUGUCAAUCCAAAUGGAAACAUUUGACUCUAUCUUCUUUUUUGUACCUGCCACAGAAAUAAUAAUUGCAUCUACAUAUUUGUUAUUAUUUUCCCAUUCCAUAGACAUGUUGCACGUCCCACCCACGAUCCAAUAGGAUGGACAUCACAAUUCCUUUCCCUAGGGUCAAGUUAGG